GGACAUGAAGGUGAUCUGGCUGCGAUAUUUGUCACCUCAUUGAUCACCAGGGUUGAUUUGGCUGAUCUGGCUUGGCCAGGCAGGCGUCCCCGUCCUCCCUCACCACUCCAUGUAUGUCCCCCUCAAGCUGCGUACUUUGUGGCAGAGGGCAAUCAUCCCGGAUAGAGGAGCGCCGUUCUGCAGUCAAGGGUAUACAAAUAGCUGUGCCCCCCUGCUAGUACCUCCAACAAACUCUCAAGAGCCAACCCUGAGGACUAACUCAGAACCAUCUCUGUUCUGGAUACCAUGUCAGAUGCUUAGGAU
Molecule: small nuclear RNA, 303 nt
Filed under: Propithecus coquereli (Coquerel's sifaka)
Lineage: Eukaryota; Metazoa; Chordata; Mammalia; Primates; Indriidae
Description: 7SK RNA (ENSPCOG00000006432.1)
Rfam family: 7SK RNA
About the family: 7SK was discovered as an abundant small nuclear RNA in the mid-70s but a possible function has only recently been suggested. Two independent studies have found that 7SK RNA binds the CDK9/cyclin T complex (known as elongation factor P-TEFb).
Source: Rfam by way of RNAcentral